UAACCAUGCAAGUCGAACGCUCACCUUCGGGUGGGAGUGGCAGACGGGUGAGUAACACGUGGGAACGUACCCUUUGGUUCGGGACAACUCUGGGAAACUGGAGCUAAUACCGGAUACGCCCUUUUGGGGAAAGGUUUACUGCCGAAGGAUCGGCCCGCGUCUGAUUAGCUAGUUGGUGGGGUAACGGCCUACCAAGGCGACGAUCAGUAGCUGGUCUGAGAGGAUGAUCAGCCACACUGGGACUGAGACACGGCCCAGACUCCUACGGGAGGCAGCAGUGGGGAAUAUUGGACAAUGGGCGCAAGCCUGAUCCAGCCAUGCCGCGUGAGUGAUGAAGGCCUUAGGGUUGUAAAGCUCUUUUAUCCGGGACGAUAAUGACGGUACCGGAGGAAUAAGCCCCGGCUAACUUCGUGCCAGCAGCCGCGGUAAUACGAAGGGGGCUAGCGUUGCUCGGAAUCACUGGGCGUAAAGGGCGCGUAGGCGGCGUUUUAAGUCGGGGGUGAAAGCCUGUGGCUCAACCACAGAAUGGCCUUCGAUACUGGGACGCUUGAGUCUGGUAGAGGUUGGUGGAACUGCGAGUGUAGAGGUGAAAUUCGUAGAUAUUCGCAAGAACACCGGUGGCGAAGGCGGCCAACUGGACCGGCACUGACGCUGAGGCGCGAAAGC
Molecule: ribosomal RNA, 666 nt
Filed under: uncultured bacterium
Lineage: Bacteria
Description: bacterial SSU rRNA
Rfam family: Bacterial small subunit ribosomal RNA
Source: RNAcentral